RNAcentral lists this ribosomal RNA (403 nucleotides) under uncultured bacterium. RNAcentral describes it as "bacterial SSU rRNA". It matches the Rfam family "Bacterial small subunit ribosomal RNA", at positions 30 to 426 of the family's 1533-position model. The record is from RNAcentral.
AUUGAACGCUGGCGGCAGGCCUAACACAUGCAAGUCGAACGGUAACAGGAAGCAGCUUGCUGCUUUGCUGACGAGUGGCGGACGGGUGAGUAAUGUCUGGGAAACUGCCUGAUGGAGGGGGAUAACUACUGGAAACGGUAGCUAAUACCGCAUAACGUCGCAAGACCAAAGAGGGGGGACCUUCGGGCCUCUUGCCAUCGGAUGUGCCCAGAUGGGAUUAGCUAGUAGGUGGGGUAACGGCUCACCUAGGCGACGAUCCCUAGCUGGUCUGAGAGGAUGACCAGCCACACUGGAACUGAGACACGGUCCAGACUCCUACGGGAGGCAGCAGUGGGGAAUAUUGCACAAUGGGCGCAAGCCUGAUGCAGCCAUGCCGCGUGUAUGAAGAAGGCCUUCGGGUUGU